RNAcentral lists this ribosomal RNA (327 nucleotides) under uncultured eukaryote. RNAcentral's name for it is "partial 18S ribosomal RNA". It matches the Rfam family "Eukaryotic small subunit ribosomal RNA", at positions 1470 to 1796 of the family's 1831-position model. The record is from RNAcentral.
CCCUUAGAUGUUCUGGGCCGCACACGCGCUACACUGAAGGAGGCAGCGUGUACUCCUGGAUCGAAAGAUUUGGGUAACCCGCGAAUCUCCUUCGUGCUAGGGAUUGAGGUUUGCAAUUAUCCUUCAUGAACGAGGAAUUCCCAGUAAGUGCAAGUCAUAAGCUUGCGCUGACUACGUCCCUGCCCUUUGUACACACCGCCCGUCGCUACUACCGAUUGAAUGAUUUAGUGAGGACUUCGGACUGAGUCCAAUGCGGCUUUCGGGCUGCGUUGGUAUUUCGGAAAGAUGUCCAAACUGUAUCAUUUAGAGGAAGUAAAAGUCGUAACA